CUCUGGUCCAACAGAAACUCUACAGGCUCCUUUUGACCAGUGACAUACAGGAUUCCCAGCAUCCUUCCAUUGGGGAGCUGAGGAUGCACACAGGAAUGUGUGGCUGGGCAGGAUCACUGGGAAAGGUGAGGCCUUGGGAUUUGAAAGGCAAUGGCAAGGACCUUGAAAUCAAUUCUGUGAAACAUGGGGAUCCAGUGAAGCUUGGCAAGGUUGGCGAUGAUGGCAGUGCAGUAUUUUGCGCUGGUAAGGACACAGAUUGAGACAUUCUGAAUGACCAGUAAUUCGUUAAGGGUGGAAACCAGCAAAAGCACUGGAGAUGUCGAGUCCCUGGACAAUGAAGAUGUGGAAUAGAAUUUUGGCAGUAUUGUCAGACAGGCAGGUCAGUUUUCUGGUCAAUUCCGACCCAAAUCUUAGGACCAAUCAACAGUAGCACCACCCCAUUCUGGAGCCUGAUCGGUGGGAGCAGCAGACCAGUCUUCAGCAGCAGGCUGAGCACUCCAGUCCUUUGUAGCUGUUUCA
Molecule: long non-coding RNA, 519 nt
Organism: Carcharodon carcharias (great white shark)
Lineage: Eukaryota; Metazoa; Chordata; Chondrichthyes; Lamniformes; Lamnidae
Exons: 3
Source: RefSeq, a predicted model, not a curated record